This is a small nucleolar RNA of Suncus etruscus (white-toothed pygmy shrew), 135 nucleotides long. RefSeq annotates it as small nucleolar RNA SNORA70. The transcript has a single exon. The record is from RefSeq and is a predicted model, not a curated record. Lineage: Eukaryota; Metazoa; Chordata; Mammalia; Eulipotyphla; Soricidae.
CAGCAGUCAGUUAAACCACUUAAGCCCUUUUCCUACAUGAGUUUUGAAGUGCAAUAGCUGAAAACAGCAUUUUUCUUGGGAGCGUCUAUAUCCUAUACUUUGAGUGGGUUGUUCUAAAGGACCUUGGAGAUUGCC